GGGCCCGCACAAGCAGUGGAGUAUGUGGUUUAAUUCGAAGCAACGCGAAGAACCUUACCAGGUCUUGACAUCGAGUGCAUAGUCUAGAGAUAGAUGAAGUCCUUCGGGACACUUAGACAGGUGGUGCAUGGUCGUCGUCAGCUCGUGUCGUGAGAUGUUGGGUUAAGUCCCGCAACGAGCGCAACCCUUAUCGAUAGUUACUACGCAAGAGGACUCUAUCGAGACUGCCGUUGACAAAACGGAGGAAGGUGGGGAUGAUGUCAGAUCAUCAUGCCCUUUAUGACCUGGGCUACACACGUACUACAAUGGCCGUUAACAGAGAGAACCGAUACCGCGAGGUGGAGGAAAACUUUUAAAAACGGUCUCAGUUCGGAUCGCAGGCUGCAACCCGCCUGCGUGAAGUCGGAAUUGCUAGUAAUCGCGGAUCAGCAUGCCGCGGUGAAUACG
RNAcentral lists this ribosomal RNA (447 nucleotides) under uncultured Eubacteriales bacterium. RNAcentral describes it as "bacterial SSU rRNA". It matches the Rfam family "Bacterial small subunit ribosomal RNA", at positions 917 to 1370 of the family's 1533-position model. The record is from RNAcentral. Lineage: Bacteria; Bacillati; Bacillota; Clostridia; Eubacteriales.